This 253-nucleotide ribosomal RNA is filed under the name uncultured bacterium. Its description in RNAcentral is "partial 16S ribosomal RNA". It matches the Rfam family "Bacterial small subunit ribosomal RNA", at positions 524 to 776 of the family's 1533-position model. The record is from RNAcentral.
UACGUAGGGGGCAAGCGUUGUCCGGAUUUAUUGGGCGUAAAGCGCGCGUAGGCGGUUACUUAAGUCGGAUGUGAAAGCCCUCGGCUUAACUGAGGAAGUGCACCCGAAACUGAGUAGCUAGAGUACGAAAGAGGGUCGCGGAAUUCCCGGUGUAGAGGUGAAAUUCGUAGAUAUCGGGAGGAACACCGGUGGCGAAGGCGGCGACCUGGGUCGAGACUGACGCUGAGGCGCGAAAGCGUGGGGAGCAAACAGG